Molecule: long non-coding RNA, 4662 nt
Filed under: Sus scrofa (pig)
Lineage: Eukaryota; Metazoa; Chordata; Mammalia; Artiodactyla; Suidae
Description: lncRNA (ENSSSCG00045023129.1)
Source: RNAcentral
ACUCGCCGCUGAGACACUUUGGGAAUGAGGAGGGGUGCGGAGCGGCUUCCUCGGGGCAGAGGGACUGGCGUAGGCAUUUUUGCCAGAGACGAUGGAAAGUUGUACAGCGAUCAUCACAAGAGGGACUCUUGAAGGAUGGUUCGCAGAAGGGAAAAGAAAGGUGUUCCAAAGAGAGGUACCAUCGUGAACACAGGGUGUGAUAAGAAUUCACUGGCCAGUCUCCUUGGAUAUUUCUUCUGAACUGUGCUAUUUGAUUCGGCACCACCAGAUUCAGGAGGAGGAUACAUUUCAAAAUCUGAAUUCAUAUCCAAAGGGGACUCAGCUUCUUGCGGUUUGAGCCUCAGAGCUUCUCGAAAGUCAGCGGUCCUUACAGGAGACUGUCUUUGAUUUCACAAGAAGCCUCUAACAACCUGUUUUCAUUUAUUGGAUGUGCCAAUUUCCCUGGUGUAAAUACUGCUGUGGCUGAUUUCAAGCACAAUGUGAUGUCACCAAAAGUGGAUUAGGGAAGAAGUGCUUACAGCAGCCCUCCUGAGUCUAGUCGUAUGAGUCAGGGCAUGCUUUGGGUCCACUCAACAAAUUAUCUCCAAGUUUUUCAGAGCCACCCUGGAAGGAUGGAGACAGUGACAAGGUAGAAAAAGUCUUGCUUUUUCUUUAGCACAACAUUCCAGAGAAUAAACUCUUUUGAUUUUUCCAGGUCCCCAAAUUAGUCUUCAUAUGUGUUUGUCCCACUAUUCAGGUUUUUAACGUAGUAUCCAUGAUUUAAAUGUCAAGAACUCUGCUUAUUUUUAUUGUUGGCAGUCUAAUUUUGAUUUAAGAAUAUGAUAUCUACUCAACAAUCUCUCAGUGUGUUAAUUAUGCUUAUUUUAGAGUUUUCUUCUGAUUUAUUUUUUAUUUUUUAUUUUUUAGGGCCGCACCUGUGGCCUGUGGAAGUUGUCACACUAGGGGUCAAAUUGGAGCUGCAACUGCCAGCCUACACCAUAGCCACAGCCACACCAGAUCUGAGGUGUGUCUGCAACCUGCACCACAGCUCAUGGCAAUGCUGGAUCUUGAACCCACUGAGAAAAGUCAGGGAUUGAACCUGCAUCCUCAUGGAUACUAGUCAGGCUCAUUACCCCUGAGCCAAGAUGGGAACUCCUCUUCUGAUUCUUGUAUUAGCUCCACUUAAUUUGGGGUUAGUUCCUCUGCUUAUUCAGCCUCUUACCUCUAUUUCACGGUGUGUUUGCCUGAACUCUUUGGUUAUCUGGCUUGAUUAGUGUGGUUUCUUUAGCACAACUGAAAACCACUGGGGCAGUGAAUGUGGAUUGUGAUUACAAGGCGUUUGAUGCAGAGGGAGUUCUCCUUUAAGGAGUGCAGAAAGUGCUUACAUUCUGAGCAUGUGGACUACUUGUCUUUUGGGCCAGUUGAAAGGGACUUGGGGACACUGAUCUACUUCUCUCCCAAGCCCCCAUCCUUCCUCAGGGAAUUCUCCUGUGGCAUAGAUCCCCUACUUUAUUAAGAGGAUUUUUCUUUCAACAGGACAAUCAGUCAUGUGUGGGUGAUUUAAUAUUAGGUUAUAUAAUUUAUCCUAUUAACAGAUCAAAGGAGAAAAAUUAUUUAAUUUUGAUAAAUGCAAAACCGGAUAUUUAAUAAAUUUCAAAAUCCAAUGCUGAUUUUUAAAUAUUUGGUUAUGUAACAGUAAGGGGAUAUGUACUUAACAUGACAAAAUACGUGAAAAUUGACACACAUUUGUAUCUAUUGCCCAAAAAACCCCCAGUGUUUGCUUAAUAGUAAAAUGUUAAAAAGUUUCUACUGAAGUGAGGAAUAAAAUGAGGCAUGUAAUGCAUAUUGUGGUAUAAAAUUUAAACGUGACAGAAAAUGUAAUGAAAAUCAAAAGCCUCUCCCUCCAUGAUUCUGCACACUUGAAAUAACCAAUAUUAAUAGUUCGAUGCCUUUUUUUCACUAAUUUUACUUUCCUAAGCCAAUACUAUGAUUUAUUAUGUUUAAGAGAUAAUAUAGUCUAUUAUUAUUUUUGGGGAUGGUCACAAAUGGAAUUAAAGAACUAGCCAAUAUAUUUAGAUAAGAGUAUAAAGUAGCACAGCAAUUUUAACUGAGGACGCAAAGUUGUUAUUUACAGAUGUUUCAAUGGGCCAUUGAUGUGUAACAAACUACCCCAAGACUCAGUGGCCUAAGACAACAACCAUUUAUUUGCUCAUGGGUCUGCCAGUUGGGGUUGUCCCUCUCUUUCUCUCCUGUCUCCCUCUCUCUCUCUCCCUGACCUUUCCCUAUGGUCUUUCAAGCAGGGGAACCCGACUUCUUACAAGGUAGAUCUGGGCUCCCCAAACCACAAAAGUGGAACCUUCUACGCUUCCUUGAAGCUUAGGCACAGUGUCACUUCCUCUGUUGUCUGCUGAUGAAAAGCAAGUCACAGGCCCUUCCCAGAAUCAAGGGCAAGAAACUGCACAAGGGUGUGAAUUCUGGGAGGUGUGGUUUACUGGAACCAUGGUUUUAAAGACUACCACCACAUGACAUGGUUUUAGUUAUAGACAACCCAAAAGAAUCAACUGGAAAGUGAUGAAGAACAAUGGGGGGGUUCAGUCAAAUGAUUGGUGACAGAUCAGAUAAAGCUAAGUAUAUACUUAUAACAAUGUUACAAAGUUUUACGGAAUUAAAGAUAGUAUUUAUAAUACCACUAAUAAUUAUUUCAUGAAUAUUUAUUUAGCUACUACCACAUAACGAGUAUUGAUACAGAAAUACAUAAAUAGAAACAUAUUUAUCCAUCAUGAAACUUACAGUCUAGACAAUACAUACAUUAAGCAAAGUCUGUGAUGUUGGAAGGAACUUUGCCCAUUAGUGAGUUAUUGUGGUGUAACAAACAAUCCCAAAAUCUUAGUGGCUUAAAAGAGUAAACAUCUAUUGUUCUGCUGAAGAGUUCAAGUUGCUUAGGGCAAAGCAAUUUUAGUGUAAGGGGUGGGUUCAGAUCUGCUGUACUUGUCCCUCAGUCUGGGACCAGCAGCUAGUCAGAGUGUUAUUUUUCCUGCCACAUGGCAGGAGGACAAGCCAAACCAUGUCAGCACAUUUAAAAAGGCCCCUAUUUGCAUCAUUUACUUAUAUUCCAUUUGCCCAAGCAAAUCAUGUGGCCAAGUCCAAUACAAUGAGACAAAGAUGUAUAAUUCUAUUACAUGAACAAAGUAAGGGUAAGAAACAAUAAUAUAGUCAACCACUGUCAAUAAUCUGAAGAACUGGAGGUGUGGUUUCCUGGAGAUGUGGUGCACUGUCUGAAGAGCUAGAUAGGGGGCCAGAUCAUUUAGGGCCUUGUUGGCCUUGCUAAAGAUGUUGAAUGGCAUGGAAGUGCAAAGCCAAGCCACUGGAGAUUUUUAAGCAGGAGAGUGACACGGUCAGUUUACUGUUAAAAAAUGCUACCAUAUAAAGAAUGGCUCGGAAGAAAGAGGAUUUGAAGAGAGUAGGUAUGAAGCUAUUGAAAUAAGUUAAGAUGGUGGCUUGGCUUGGACAAGGAAAGUGACAGUAUAAAGGGAAGUAUAAAGGGUUUGAGAUCUAUUUUAGAAAUAUAAUGAUUAGGCUUGGUCAGGAAUGGGAUGUGAGUUUGAGGGAGGGCUCAGGUAAGACUCAGAUGCCUGACAAUUGCACCGGGUCAAUACACAUGCCCCAAAUGCACUCGGUAAAGAAACAUAUUUGAGGAGGUCGAUUAAAAGUUUAGUUUUGGAUUUACCAGGUUCUGUAUACUUGUGAGACAAUACUCAUAAAACACCUAGGGAUAAACUUAACAAGCAAUGUGAAGAAUCCAUAUGAAUAAAACUAUAAACCUCUAUGGAGGGCCAUAAAAGAAGAUUUGAAUCAAUGGAGUGUCAAACCUUGCACUUGGAUAGGAAGACUCAAAAUUGUAAAGAUGUCAAUUUUCACUAAAGACAUCUAUAAAUUCAAUGCAACUUCAAUCAAAAUUUCAAUAGUGUUUUUUUCUUGGAACUUGCAGCAAUUACCAGGACCAUUCUCUAAAAGAAGUGUAAUGAGAAAUAACCUGUUCCAUCAUAUAUUAAAAUACAUUAUAAAGCAAGAAGAUUUAUAACAGCAGGGUAUAGACGGAAAAAUAGAUUGAUAGCUCAAUGGCGUUGAAUAAAGUAAAGAAAUUGUGGAUCCAAGAACAGAUGAGGGUUUAGUAUAUCGCGGGGAUACCAUAGCCAAGUGAUGGAGAAAAGUCAUAUUAUUCAAUGAAAGAUUUAAAGACAACUGGAUAGCUAUUUAGAGAAAAAUAAUAAAGCAGCAUCUACAAAGCUCCACUUCUCUUUUUUAUCUGCUAUAUACUAUUCCAUAGCUUCAGGAUAGCAUCUUUUAGUAAGUCAUAAUCAUAUGGAUGUAAUUUUAGUUUCUUCUUCUUUUUUUUUUUAUAAAAAAUAGCAUGAAAAGGAAAUUUUUAUAUAGCAUCUUUGGACAAAUGUGUGAAACCUUCUCUGGGAUACAUUCCAAGAUGUGAAAUUGCUGAGUCAGAAAGGAUGUACUGUGGGGUUUUUUUUUUGUUUUUGUUUUUGUUUUUUUUAAGUACUGCUGUAUUUUCCUUUGAAAUCUCAAACUACACUCCAAGCAGCAGUGGGCAAGAAAACAAAACCAAAAUAAAUCCCAAUAAAACAGAUGGAUCAAGUUAAUAAAAGUAAAAGCAGAAACAAAUGAAAC